UUGAAACACUGGUCCUUAUGUGAUCACUGAAGUUAAGCAAUGUCAAGUCUGGUCAGUACCUAGAUGAGUGACCACUUGGGAAUAUCAGGUACUGUAAG
Acanthosepion pharaonis is the source of this 98-nucleotide non-coding RNA. The record is from the annotation of a GenBank genome assembly. Lineage: Eukaryota; Metazoa; Mollusca; Cephalopoda; Sepiida; Sepiidae.